GUUUGCCUGUGUGUGGAUGGUGUUCAGCACCAGGGACAGGUAUGUUUGCCUGUGUGUGGAUGGUGUUCAGCACCAAGGACAGGUAUGUUUGCCU
This is a non-coding RNA of Branchiostoma floridae (Florida lancelet), 94 nucleotides long. The record is from Rfam. Lineage: Eukaryota; Metazoa; Chordata; Leptocardii; Amphioxiformes; Branchiostomatidae.